GUCAGGAUGGCCGAGCUUAAGGCGCGUUCAGUGCAGUCCACUUGUUUGGGUGGGUUCGAAUCCCACUUCUGACA
Molecule: non-coding RNA, 74 nt
Organism: Trichonephila inaurata madagascariensis
Lineage: Eukaryota; Metazoa; Arthropoda; Arachnida; Araneae; Nephilidae
Source: the annotation of a GenBank genome assembly